This 253-nucleotide ribosomal RNA is filed under the name uncultured bacterium. RNAcentral's name for it is "partial 16S ribosomal RNA". It matches the Rfam family "Bacterial small subunit ribosomal RNA", at positions 524 to 776 of the family's 1533-position model. The record is from RNAcentral.
UACGUAGGGCGCAAGCGUUAUCCGGAAUUAUUGGGCGUAAAGAGCUCGUAGGCGGUUUGUCGCGUCUGCCGUGAAAUCCCCGGGCUCAACCCGGGAACUGCGUCCGAUACUGGGAGGCUUGAAUCCGGGAGAGGGAUGUGGAAUUCCAGGUGUAGCGGUGAAAUGCGUAGAUAUCUGGAGGAACACCGGUGGCGAAGGCGGCAUCCUGGACCGGUAUUGACGCUGAGGCGCGAAAGCCAGGGGAGCAAACGGG